UCCCCAGGCACCGCAGCCUGCUGUACACGUGCAGGGGCAAGAGCCCCUGACCGCCUCCAUGCUGGCUGCAGCACCCCCCAGGAACAGAAGCAGAUGCUGGGAGAAUGUUUGUUCCCACUCAUCCAAACCAUGCAUUCAAACCUGGCUGGAAAGAUCACAGGCAUGCUGCUGGAGAUCGACAAUUCCGAGCUGCUGCACAUGCUGGAGUCCCCCGAGUCCCUCCGCUCUAAGGUGGAUGAGGCAGUGGCCGUUCUGCAGGCUCAUCAC
Molecule: non-coding RNA, 267 nt
Organism: Manis javanica (Malayan pangolin)
Lineage: Eukaryota; Metazoa; Chordata; Mammalia; Pholidota; Manidae
Source: RefSeq, a predicted model, not a curated record